This 284-nucleotide unclassified non-coding RNA is filed under the name plant metagenome. Its description in RNAcentral is "partial contains small subunit ribosomal RNA, internal transcribed spacer 1, and 5.8S ribosomal RNA". The stretch from base 1 to 53 matches the Rfam family "Eukaryotic small subunit ribosomal RNA", at positions 1779 to 1831 of the family's 1831-position model. The record is from RNAcentral.
GGAAGAAAAGUCGUAACAAGGUUUCCGUAGGUGAACCUGCGGAAGGAUCAUUAUUGUAUAACCGAGGUGCGAGGGCUGUCGCUGACCCGAAAGGUCGUGCACGCCCGAGUGCCCUCACACACAUCCAUCUCACCCCUAUGUGCACCACCGCGUGGGUCCCCCUUUGGCUUGUUCGGAGGGGGGCUUACGUUUUCACACAAACUUUGUAUGCAGUGUAGAAUGUAUUUUUUGUUUUUGCGAUCACGCAAUCAAUACAACUUUCAACAACGGAUCUCUUGGCUCUC